GCGCGAAACCUCCGCAAUGUGAGAAAUCGCGACGGGGGGACCCCAAGUGCCAUUCUUAACGGGAUGGCUUUUCUUAAGUGUAAAAAAGCUUUUGGAAUAAGAGCUGGGCAAGACCGGUGCCAGCCGCCGCGGUAACACCGGCAGCUCCAGUGGUAGCCAUUUUUAUUGGGCCUAAAGCGUUCGUAGCCGGUUUAAUAAGUCUCUGGUGAAAUCCCGUAGCUUAACUAUGGGAAUUGCUGGAGAUACUAUUAGACUUGAGGUCGGGAGAGGUUAGAGGUACUCCCAGGGUAGGGGUGAAAUCCUGUAAUCCUGGGAGGACCACCUGUGGCGAAGGCGUCUAACUGGAACGAACCUGACGGUGAGGGACGAAAGCUAGGGGCGCGAACCGGAUUAGAUACCCGGGUAGUCCUAGCCGUAAACGAUGCGGACUUGGUGUUAGGAUGGCUUUGAGCCGCCCUAGUGCCGAAGGGAAGCUGUUAAGUCCGCCGCCUGGGAAGUACGGUCGCAAGACUGAAACUUAAGGAAUUGGGCGGGGAGCACCACAACGCGUGGAGCCUG
Molecule: ribosomal RNA, 558 nt
Filed under: uncultured Methanobrevibacter sp.
Lineage: Archaea; Methanobacteriati; Methanobacteriota; Methanobacteria; Methanobacteriales; Methanobacteriaceae
Description: bacterial SSU rRNA
Rfam family: Archaeal small subunit ribosomal RNA
Source: RNAcentral